CCUCCUCAUGAUGUUGUCUCCGGCCUGUUAUAUCAAAGCUGUUUCCUUUCAUACACCUUCUUCACUGAUUUCUCCUUAAAAUGUUCUGCAAACGUGACGUCAGGAGACAGAUGCUUGUCGCUAAAGCAGGUCAACGGCAGCAAAACAUCUGCAGCAGCAAUCCAGAGGAACCUGCAGCAUGAAGGAGCUCAGGGACUCCCAGAAAAGACUGGAUUAGUGACUCUGAUGAGGGUUGAAGGUAACAGUGAAUGAGCUGCUGUAAAACAUCUGUAGAUCUGUGAGAAACACGGUCGUAUACACUAAAGUCCAGAUCAAGUCUUUAUCAGCUGUGACACUUUCUGUCCGACAUGCAGGUCGGAGCAGAAACCAGGAAGAAAAUCCAGACAUGAAAUAUUCAUACGGCGCACACAACAGGCCGGCUGUUUGUCGGAGCAGCUCGGUCUCUCACACACUGGAUCCUUCUGAGGGAGCAGCUGAUGCUGACGAGUCCUGAAUAUGGAUGAGAGGACGUGAAAUGAUGUGUUGUGUCAUAAAAUCUCACUGUGCUGUGAAACUCAGUCACUCAACAAUGAUGGUGUGUUUCAGCACAUUCCUCACCGCUGCACAGAGUUUAUUUCUCGACCAAAAACCUUUUUAACUCGUGUGAAACUAAACUGAGUUUACCGUUUCCUCCAGUUCAGAGCAGUUUAGAGCUGUUUGUGCAGGAUACAAGUAUCUGAAGAGCCUCCAGUAUCGAAUGGUGAGUAGAAAAGUGCAGCAAUAUCCCCUCCACAAAAACAGACUGGUUUCUUUUUUCUUAAAAUCGCACAAAUCUGUAGAAUUAAUCAUGAUCGUUUGCAGCAUCGCCUGUUUCUGAGGGAGAAAUAACAGCUUUCAACAGUCCGUUAAAUCCUGACAAAAUCACAAAGUCUAUAGAUAAAAAAAAAGAAAGUCAUUUUUUCCAGUUUAAUCCUCUGUAAGAGUUUCCUGAGGCACUUUUAACAUUUUAUGUAAUAAAAGAGUUUUCAGGGAGAACUCUGACGGAUCAGAUUCUUUGGAGGAGCAGAUAAUUCAUUUUGAAAAAGGAGUAAAAGAGAGACUUUAUCAGGUUUCACCGAACAAGGAAGAAAGAAAGAAAGAAAGAAAGAAAGAAAGAAAGAAAGAAAGAAAGAAAAAAGAAAGAAAGAAAGAAAAGAGAGAUUUAACCGUGUUUAAAAAAAGAAGGAAGGGAGCCAGAGGGAGAAAGGAAGAAAGAAAGAAAAACAAGAAAGACAGAAAGAGAAAAAAGAAAGAUUUAAUCCUGUUUAACUGAUGAAGGAAAAAAGAAAAUAAACCCAAAGAAGAAAAGAAAGAAAGAAGAAAGAAAAAACUGAUUGAUAAAACAAAAAGAAAAGACAAGACAGUAAAGGAACUGAAAGAAAAUGAUGAAAAACAAAACAAAGACAGGCAGGAAGAAAGAAAGAAACAAAGAAAAAGAAGACAGCAAGAAAAAAGAGUCAGAGAAAAGAGAAGGAAGGAGGAAAGGAAAGGAAUCAGAGAAAGAGAGCAAAAGAGAAAAAAAAGAAAAAAUGAAUGAGAAAAGAAAAAAAUAAAGAGAAAAAAGAAGACAUCAUAUUUUUUCUUGUUCUCAUGAAUUUCUCACAUUUCCUGUCCCUAAUAAUCUUGUUUAUCAUUGAAACGUUGAUUAAAGCAGAUUCUGCGUUUUUAUUGGAUCAUUUUUUCAUUUAAACUUAUUUUGUGUUUAAACUUUUCACUCCUGAUACUUUUGAUACAUGUCUGUGUGUUUUUUCAUCAUAUGGAGCGCGCUGUGAUGAAAUUAGAAUAAUCUUAUCCUGUGGUUGUGUUGGUGCAGAUCUCUCUCUCUCUCUCUCUCUCUCUCUCUCUCUCUCUCUCUCUCUCUCUCUCUCUCUCUCUGAUCUCUCUCUGAUUUUGUGUGAAAUCAGACGCAGCAGGA
Non-coding RNA from Xyrichtys novacula (pearly razorfish), 1933 nucleotides. The record is from the annotation of a GenBank genome assembly. Lineage: Eukaryota; Metazoa; Chordata; Actinopteri; Labriformes; Labridae.